AUACGUAGGUGACAAGCGUUAUCCGGAUUUACUGGGCGUAAAGGGCGUGUAGGCGGUCUUGCAAGUCAGAAGUGAAAUUCCUGAGCUCAACUCGGGCGCUGCUUCUGAAACUGCAGGACUUGAGUGCUGGAGGGGAUAGCGGAAUUCCUAGUGGAGCGGUAAAAUGCGCAGAUAUUAGGAAGAACACCGGUGGCGAAGGCGGCUAUCUGGCCAGUAACUGACGCUGAGGCGCGAAAGCGUGGGGAGCAAACAGGAUUAGAUACCCUGGUAGUCCACGCUGUAAACGAUGAAUACUAGGUGUAGGGGGUAUCGACUCCCUCUGUGCCGCAGUUAACACAAUAAGUAUUCCGCCUGGGGAGUACGGCCGCAAGGUUGAAACUCAAAUGAAUUGACGGGG
RNAcentral lists this ribosomal RNA (397 nucleotides) under uncultured bacterium. RNAcentral describes it as "partial 16S ribosomal RNA". It matches the Rfam family "Bacterial small subunit ribosomal RNA", at positions 523 to 918 of the family's 1533-position model. The record is from RNAcentral.